Molecule: ribosomal RNA, 503 nt
Filed under: uncultured bacterium
Lineage: Bacteria
Description: bacterial SSU rRNA
Rfam family: Bacterial small subunit ribosomal RNA
Source: RNAcentral
AUUGAACGCUGGCGGCAUGCCUUACACAUGCAAGUCGAACGGCAGCACGGGAGCUUGCUCCUGGUGGCGAGUGGCGAACGGGUGAGUAAUACAUCGGAACGUACCCUGAAGUGGGGGAUAACGUAGCGAAAGUUACGCUAAUACCGCAUAUUCCCUAAGGGGGAAAGCGGGGGAUUCGCAAGAACCUCGCGUUUUCGGAGCGGCCGAUAUCGGAUUAGCUAGUAGGUGAGGUAAAGGCUCACCUAGGCGACGAUCCGUAGCUGGUCUGAGAGGACGACCAGCCACACUGGAACUGAGACACGGUCCAGACUCCUACGGGAGGCAGCAGUGGGGAAUUUUGGACAAUGGGCGCAAGCCUGAUCCAGCCAUGCCGCGUGAGUGAAGAAGGCCUCGGUUGUAAGCUCUUUCUAGCCGGAAGAAACGACACGGGUAAUAACCUAGUGUGGAGUGACGGUACCGGAAGAAGAAGCACCGGCUAACUACGUAGCCAGCAGCCGCGGUAA